This 1012-nucleotide ribosomal RNA is filed under the name Vibrio sp. 837M. RNAcentral describes it as "bacterial SSU rRNA". It matches the Rfam family "Bacterial small subunit ribosomal RNA", at positions 384 to 1386 of the family's 1533-position model. Lineage: Bacteria; Pseudomonadati; Pseudomonadota; Gammaproteobacteria; Vibrionales; Vibrionaceae. The record is from RNAcentral.
UGAUCAGCCCUGCCGCGUGUGUGAAGAAGGCCUUCGGGUUGUAAAGCACUUUCAGUCGUGAGGAAGGUGGUGUAGUUAAUAGCUGCAUUACUUGACGUUAGCGACAGAAGAAGCACCGGCUAACUCCGUGCCAGCAGCCGCGGUAAUACGGAGGGUGCGAGCGUUAAUCGGAAUUACUGGGCGUAAAGCGCAUGCAGGUGGUUUGUUAAGUCAGAUGUGAAAGCCCGGGGCUCAACCUCGGAAUAGCAUUUGAAACUGGCAGACUAGAGUACUGUAGAGGGGGGUAGAAUUUCAGGUGUAGCGGUGAAAUGCGUAGAGAUCUGAAGGAAUACCGGUGGCGAAGGCGGCCCCCUGGACAGAUACUGACACUCAGAUGCGAAAGCGUGGGGAGCAAACAGGAUUAGAUACCCUGGUAGUCCACGCCGUAAACGAUGUCUACUUGGAGGUUGUGGCCUUGAGCCGUGGCUUUCGGAGCUAACGCGUUAAGUAGACCGCCUGGGGAGUACGGUCGCAAGAUUAAAACUCAAAUGAAUUGACGGGGGCCCGCACAAGCGGUGGAGCAUGUGGUUUAAUUCGAUGCAACGCGAAGAACCUUACCUACUCUUGACAUCCAGAGAACUUUCCAGAGAUGGAUUGGUGCCUUCGGGAACUCUGAGACAGGUGCUGCAUGGCUGUCGUCAGCUCGUGUUGUGAAAUGUUGGGUUAAGUCCCGCAACGAGCGCAACCCUUAUCCUUGUUUGCCAGCGAGUAAUGUCGGGAACUCCAGGGAGACUGCCGGUGAUAAACCGGAGGAAGGUGGGGACGACGUCAAGUCAUCAUGGCCCUUACGAGUAGGGCUACACACGUGCUACAAUGGCGCAUACAGAGGGCAGCAAGCUAGCGAUAGUGAGCGAAUCCCAAAAAGUGCGUCGUAGUCCGGAUUGGAGUCUGCAACUCGACUCCAUGAAGUCGGAAUCGCUAGUAAUCGGGGAUCAGAAUGCCACCGGUGAAUACGUUCCCGGGGCCUUGGUAC